RNAcentral lists this transfer RNA (78 nucleotides) under Thermodesulfovibrio yellowstonii DSM 11347. Its description in RNAcentral is "tRNA-Lys". It matches the Rfam family "tRNA". From Rfam's summary of the family: Transfer RNA (tRNA) molecules are approximately 80 nucleotides in length. Their secondary structure includes four short double-helical elements and three loops (D, anti-codon, and T loops). The record is from RNAcentral. Lineage: Bacteria; Pseudomonadati; Nitrospirota; Thermodesulfovibrionia; Thermodesulfovibrionales; Thermodesulfovibrionaceae.
UGGGCCGUUAGCUCAGCUGGUAGAGCAGCUGACUCUUAAUCAGCGGGUCGCAGGUUCGAAUCCUGCACGGCUCACUUA